AUGCGUGCCUUCUCCCUCUCCCUCCUAUUCCUAGGCGCGGCCUCCCUCGUCGACGCCACCGGCGGCAAUGUCAAGGCGGCAUGCGCCGACACGCCGUACCCGGAGUACUGUGUCACCGUCCUGUCAGCAUGCCCGAAGAGUAAAUCUGCGGACGCUUUCGCGCUGGCCGAGAUUGCGGUCCACGCUGCAGCCAAUACCAGCACCAAGGCGGCCACCCUCGCGCGCUCCGAGGAAAAGGGCAUCAAGGAUGGCAUGUGGUGGUGCAUGGACCAUUGCGCGGCAGACAUCGAGGACGCUGCCGCGCGCCUUAGUCACCACAACGUGAGGCUCGCCGAUGUGCGGAGCUUCAUUGCGAGGACCGAGAGCGACUCGGUCAUGUGGAACUGCGAUGAGUGCCGGCAGGAAGGGGCGUCCAAGAAGAAUGACCUGCUCUCGAAAGACGGUGACCUGGAGAAGAUCAUGGGCGUCAUGUCUGCACUCGUCAAGCGUGUACGCGUCACCAAGGGCACCACUGCACCGCCCGUGAAGGCGCCGACACCGUCCGCGUAUUAG
This 552-nucleotide ribosomal RNA is filed under the name Triticum aestivum (bread wheat). RNAcentral describes it as "partial small subunit ribosomal RNA". The record is from RNAcentral. Lineage: Eukaryota; Viridiplantae; Streptophyta; Magnoliopsida; Poales; Poaceae.